AUUGAACGCUGGCGGCAGGCUUAACACAUGCAAGUCGAACGAGUCGCAGACGGGUGAGUAAUGCUUGGGAAUCUCGCUUAUGGAGGGGGAUAACUACGGGAAACUUUGGCUAAUCCCGCGUACCAUAGGAUGAGCCCGAGUGGGAUUAGGUAGUUGGUGUGGUAAAGGCUCACCAAGCCGACGUUCUCUAGCGGGUCUGAGAGGAUGACCAGCCAAACGGGGACUGAGACACGGCCCAGACUCCUCCGGGAGGCAGCAGUGGGGAAUAUUGCGCAAUGGGGGCAACCCUGACGCAGCCAUGCCGCGUGUAUGAAGAAGGCCUUCGGGUUGUAAAGUACUUUCAGUGGGGAGGCGUUACCGACAGAAGAAGCACCGGCUAACUCCGUGCCAGCAGCCGCGGUAAUUC
Molecule: ribosomal RNA, 406 nt
Filed under: uncultured bacterium
Lineage: Bacteria
Description: partial 16S ribosomal RNA
Rfam family: Bacterial small subunit ribosomal RNA
Source: RNAcentral